AGAUUAAGCCAUGCAAGUCUUAGUAUGAACUAAUGAAUAGUGAAACCGCGAAUGGCUCAUUACAACAGCUAUAGUUCACUGGAUAUUUACAUGGAUAACUGUGGUAAUUCUACAGCUAAUACACGCUUCAAAACCCCAACUUUACGAAGGGGUGCGUUAGUUAAUUCAAAUCAAUCAGACUUCGGCCAAGUGAAAUUGAACUAUUUAGCUGAUCGCACGGUCUAAGAACCGGCGACAUAUCCUUCUCUGCCUUAUCAACUGUCGAUGGUAGAUUAUGCGCCUACCAUGGUUGUAACGGGUAACGGAGAAUCAGGGUUUGAUUCCGGAGAGGGAGCCUGAGAAAUGGCUACCACAUCCAAGGAAG
RNAcentral lists this ribosomal RNA (364 nucleotides) under Camacolaimus sp. 30P7I20. RNAcentral's name for it is "SSU rRNA". It matches the Rfam family "Eukaryotic small subunit ribosomal RNA", at positions 41 to 424 of the family's 1831-position model. The record is from RNAcentral. Lineage: Eukaryota; Metazoa; Nematoda; Chromadorea; Plectida; Leptolaimidae.